RNAcentral lists this ribosomal RNA (101 nucleotides) under uncultured bacterium. RNAcentral describes it as "partial 16S ribosomal RNA". It matches the Rfam family "Bacterial small subunit ribosomal RNA", at positions 362 to 462 of the family's 1533-position model. The record is from RNAcentral.
UAUUGGACAAUGGGCGAAAGCCUGAUCCAGCAAUGCCGCGUGAGUGAUGAAGGCCUUAGGGUUGUAAAGCUCUUUUACCAGGGUAAUGAUAAUGACAGUAU